GCGGCUGUGGCGGAAUCAGGUAGACGCGCGGGUCCCAGGAACCCGUGCCCUUACGGGCGUGGAGGUUCGAGUCCUCUCAGCCGCA
Molecule: transfer RNA, 85 nt
Filed under: Solirubrobacterales bacterium
Lineage: Bacteria; Bacillati; Actinomycetota; Thermoleophilia; Solirubrobacterales
Also listed under: 1 other name
Description: tRNA-Leu
Rfam family: tRNA
About the family: Transfer RNA (tRNA) molecules are approximately 80 nucleotides in length.
Source: RNAcentral